Molecule: long non-coding RNA, 606 nt
Organism: Danio aesculapii
Lineage: Eukaryota; Metazoa; Chordata; Actinopteri; Cypriniformes; Danionidae
Exons: 3
Source: RefSeq, a predicted model, not a curated record
GUUCACAAAAUGGAUCUGGAACGAUUGAGGAGAAGAAUGGAGCGACUGCGGGCACACCACAACAAAUGUGAAGCGUCUGCAUUAAAGGCAGUGGGAGAAGAGAAGUCAGCAAAGGUGAAAGUCCUCCAUCCACCUCGGCCUCACAGAGACAAAGAGGAGGAGGAAGAGCAGAGAGAAAAGGAGAGUCAGAUGAAGGUAUGAUCUGAAUUUGACACACUCAUCUUAGUUAAUGGUUUGUGCUGAUGUUUGUAUUGUGGUAGAUCUGAGAUGGGCACACAGUUUCUUUUUCACUCAGCAAGCAGUAAUGACUCUGACAACAUGAAUUUAAUCAACAGUACAACUCAAGAUUUUACAGAGAUGCUUUCACUUCAGCAGUGCACACACACACCUAAUUAUUCUCACAUUCAUUAUGGGCAGUGCGUUUAAAGAUGAAAAGCCUCUAAACUAAUUUAACUAUUUCUGUUUCCAUUAAUGAAAAAUAAUAGAUGAAACAUUACUAAACAUGUUUACUGUCACAACAUCUCCCUGAAGCAGUGUUCAUGACAGUAAAGUCUCUCUCUACUUGAGGAUCCCUUACAGGUGCUGAUGUUGGUCUGUUGCACUGAU